GGGAUAACUACUGGAAACGGUAGCUAAUACCGCAUAACGUCGCAAGACCAAAGAGGGGGACCUUCGGGCCUCUUGCCAUCGGAUGUGCCCAGAUGGGAUUAGCUGGUAGGUGGGGUAACGGCUCACCUAGGCGACGAUCCCUAGCUGGUCUGAGAGGAUGACCAGCCACACUGGAACUGAGACACGGUCCAGACUCCUACGGGAGGCAGCAGUGCGGAAUAUUGCACAAUGGGCGCAAGCCUGAUGCAGCCAUGCCGCGUGUAUGAAGAAGGCCUUCGGGUUGUAAAGUACUUUCAGCGGGGAGGAAGGGAGUAAAGUUAAUACCUCUGCUCAUUGACGCUACCCGCAGAAGAAGCACCGGCUAACUCCGUGCCAGCAGCCGCGGUAAUACGGAGGGUGCAAGCGUUAAUCGGAAUUACUGGGCGUAAAGCGCACGCAGGCGGUUUGUUAAGUCAGAUGUGAAAUCCCCGGGCUCAACCUGGGAACUGCAUCUGAUACUGGCAAGCUUGAGUCUCGUAGAGGGGGGUAGAAUUCCAGGUGUAGCGGUGAAAUGCGUAGAGAUCUGGAGGAAUACCGGUGGCGAAGGCGGCCCCCUGGACGAAGACUGACGCUCAGGUGCGAAAGCGUGGGGAGC
RNAcentral lists this ribosomal RNA (634 nucleotides) under uncultured bacterium. RNAcentral describes it as "bacterial SSU rRNA". It matches the Rfam family "Bacterial small subunit ribosomal RNA", at positions 140 to 769 of the family's 1533-position model. The record is from RNAcentral.